RNAcentral lists this long non-coding RNA (707 nucleotides) under Mus spicilegus (steppe mouse). RNAcentral describes it as "lncRNA (ENSMSIG00000006118.1)". The record is from RNAcentral. Lineage: Eukaryota; Metazoa; Chordata; Mammalia; Rodentia; Muridae.
ACCUACACAUGAACACAGAGACACAGAGACAGAUAGGCACAGAGAGAGAGAGAGAGAGAAAACACAUUGGGGUGAAGCAUCAUUUUUUAAACAAAAAUUAAAAUAAUUUUUAAUCUUUCUCCUUGCCUGACCCAUGGCUGCGGACCCUUAUCUGAUCAUCAUGUAACUGUCCAUGAGGCUUCCUAUAACCCAGGACUCCACAGAAGACAGGUUGGGAAGCAAAGACCUCCCCGAGAAAAUAGCAGUAGGAAGGAGGGAAGGACAUUGCCAAGUGGCAAUGCUGUUCCAGGCCAGAUGCUGAGCCAACACUACAGCGUCUCAUUCUAUCAACCUUCUGAGGCAGCGACUUUCCUCCUGCUCUGAAGAUGACUAGGACAGAGAUUUCAAAGGACCAGGGGUCUCUUCCAGUUACUCUUCCCAUGCUGCAACUGAUAAGGAAGCACGAGAAGGGACCUGCUCCAGACAGAAGAAAAAUCAGCUUCCCUCCACAUUCCUUUGUGGCGUGAACCCUCCCAGUCUGACCUUUCUCCUCCCAGCGCAUCUGAUUGAAGUAGCUUCUGGAGGCCUUGGGAGUCAGGAAUUAUUAAUAUCAAGGAGGGACAAAUGAAGCCUCAAUUGGUUGUCUGAGCUGAAUGCCAUCUCCCUGCAAAGGUGUCCCCUCUUGAGACAAGGAUCUUUUGAGGGGAUUUAGAGGGACAGCAAAUGCC